AGCGAACGCUGGCGGCAGGCUUAACACAUGCAAGUCGAGCGCCGUAGCAAUACGGAGCGGCAGACGGGUGAGUAACGCGUGGGAACGUACCUUUUGGUUCGGAACAACACAGGGAAACUUGUGCUAAUACCGAAUAAGCCCUUACGGGGAAAGAUUUAUCGCCGAAAGAUCGGCCCGCGUCUGAUUAGCUUGUUGGUGAGGUAACGGCUCACCAAGGCGACGAUCAGUAGCUGGUCUGAGAGGAUGAUCAGCCACAUUGGGACUGAGACACGGCCCAAACUCCUACGGGAGGCAGCAGUGGGGAAUAUUGGACAAUGGGCGCAAGCCUGAUCCAGCCAUGCCGCGUGAGUGAUGAAGGCCCUAGGGUUGUAAAGCUCUUUUGUGCGGGAAGAUAAUGACGGUACCGCAAGAAUAAGCCCCGGCUAACUUCGUGCCAGCAGCCGCGGUAAU
RNAcentral lists this ribosomal RNA (450 nucleotides) under uncultured bacterium. Its description in RNAcentral is "bacterial SSU rRNA". It matches the Rfam family "Bacterial small subunit ribosomal RNA", at positions 29 to 524 of the family's 1533-position model. The record is from RNAcentral.